GAUGAACGCUGGCGGCGUGCCUAAUACAUGCAAGUCGAGCGAACAGACGAGGAGCUUGCUCCUCUGACGUUAGCGGCGGACGGGUGAGUAACACGUGGAUAACCUACCUAUAAGACUGGGAUAACUUCGGGAAACCGGAGCUAAUACCGGAUAAUAUAUUGAACCGCAUGGUUCAAUAGUGAAAGACGGUUUUGCUGUCACUUAUAGAUGGAUCCGCGCCGCAUUAGCUAGUUGGUAAGGUAACGGCUUACCAAGGCGACGAUCCGUAGCCGACCUGAGAGGGUGAUCGGCCACACUGGAACUGAGACACGGUCCAGACUCCUACGGGAGGCAGCAGUAGGGAAUCUUCCGCAAUGGGCGAAAGCCUGACGGAGCAACGCCGCGUGAGUGAUGAAGGUCUUCGGAUCGUAAAACUCUGUUAUUAGGGAAGAACAAAUGUGUAAGUAACUAUGCACGUCUUGACGGUACCUAAUCAGAAAGCCACGGCUAACUACGUG
This 497-nucleotide ribosomal RNA is filed under the name uncultured bacterium. Its description in RNAcentral is "partial 16S ribosomal RNA". It matches the Rfam family "Bacterial small subunit ribosomal RNA", at positions 28 to 507 of the family's 1533-position model. The record is from RNAcentral.